Molecule: unclassified non-coding RNA, 280 nt
Filed under: Hevea brasiliensis (rubber tree)
Lineage: Eukaryota; Viridiplantae; Streptophyta; Magnoliopsida; Malpighiales; Euphorbiaceae
Source: RNAcentral
AGGAUAACCAUAUUUAUAAAUGCUGAAUACAAUCAAGAAAAGUUAAGAGCACAUCCCAUCACACAUUCAACAUUGAUUCAGACAACAGGUUCAUCCACAACAUAACAAGAUAAUUAAAGACUUUACAGAGUCUUCAGCAAAAAUAAAACUACAGACGUCACGGACCAUUACCUCCACCAGUUUGAUGCAGCAUGGCAUCAAUUUCAUCUCCAUCCUCCAUCUCAAGUUCAUCCGGGGUCUGCUCAGCUCGCAGCCUGCGACCAUCAAAAAGAAAUGCAAU